UCCGCACAUUAGGAUGCUUAUACGUGUUUAAUUAGUAUUAUAAUCACUAAUUGUAUGUAAACAUAUGUCAUCAUAUGUUAAUAGGUCACUAAGUGUGUUCAAGUCUUUACUUGGCACUGAGCACCCAACCGACACUUUCGUCCAAUCCACCCGCAACAGGUGAGUUCAUACCCCUGAAUUAACCUUUUAAAUGAUUUUAACUGCUUUUAUAGGGGGAAUAGAAGUUGAACUGUACAUUUAUUAGAUAAAUCACCUGUGAUUAAUAACUGUAUAGCAAAAUAGAUUUUUGCAUGUUGACUGUUUUAUCCAGCUCAAGAUAUUCCAAUCUCGCUUUCAACUCUUGUUAAAGUAUAAAUUUCUCUGCUAGAUUAUCAUAAGUAUUCGAAAGGUUUUCCGAAGGUUUUUCAAAGGUUUUCCAAAGUUUUUUCAAGCUUGGUUGCCAAAGAGACAUCAAGUCGUAAUUUCUUGUUAAAGGUUUUCAAAAGGUUUUCUUCACUUUAACUGUUUUAUCAAAUCGUUUUCAAAGCUUGUUUUACAAAAAUGACAUCGAGUCGUAAAUUUUUAUUUGUAAAGGCUUUCCAAAGGUUUUACCAAAGCUUUCUUCUAUGCUUCUGUUUCGUUAAAUGCAUGCCUAUAUUUGUAUAAUUAUAUAAAUAAUGUUUAAAGGACUUAGGAAGGCUAGUUUGCCCUAUUUCCUUUUCCUCGUUGGGAUGUGGUCUGGUGGGUAUCGGUUAUCCGUCUGAAGGUCGCUUAAACAUUAAUUAUAUAUCAUGUAUACAUGUAUGGACAUAAAAGCUCUCACUCACUCAGCAAAUUUAUCGACUUGAGUAGUACAGGAAUCCUAUCUCUAUCUCUAUCUCUAUCUCUAUAUCUAUCUCUAUAUCUCUCUCUCUGUCUCUCUCUCUCUCUCUCUCUAUUUUACUUUAGAAUGUGACAGACUAUUUCCCUCUACGACGCUCCAUUGCGCCAACGCCGUGUUACCAGAGUCUCCGGGAAAGAGAGCAAACAUCAUGUGUGUAGAUCGAUACGGGACUGAUACUCCUACACCCAGACUACUAGCUACAGUCCACGCCGGUAAGGCCCAUGGAUGAUAUAAUGCCACUACCUCUAAUGCCACUACCUUUACGCGUGACCUGGAGGGUCAUCGGAUGCUCUAUCGUCGAUCAGCAUGGUUACAUAUGGGUUCACAUUCACCCCUUUUGUUUUAGACUUUGCUAGCUGUACCGUUCAUUUGAUACUGUCUGGAUCUGUACUUCCUUUUGUUAGACUGAGCCAGGCGUAUCCUUCAUUCGAUACUCUCCUGGAGUCUGUGAUUUCUUUUUCCUUAGAAAACAGUAUUACUACUGAGGCAUAUAUUAUUUUUCCCCUAGUAUUUUUACUAGUGGUAUUCUCAUAUUUUCUUUAAAGUCAAUACCGUAUUUUGGUAAUGAUAGUAUUUAGGGGAAAAUUUCUCUUUAAAACAUAACUCUGUCGAGUCUUGGUAGAAGACUGCUUUUAUUUAGAAAAUAUAGGAUUUUCUGGAAAGGACGCUAAUACACCGUAGAUUCUAAACUACUACCUUUCAUAAAGUUAUUUUGAAUAAAAAUGUGUAUUUAUACAAAUGAUAUUAAAUACUUAUGGACUCACCAACAUUGUAAAAUGUUGAUACUCGCUUUCGAAAUAACUUGUAUUCUUAGGUCAGCGAUAGACAGGUACAUCCCAGGAGCUUUUGUGGAGACAACCUAGUACCGAGCUGCAUCUAUGUUAUGUUCUGUAAUUAUUUUGAUAUUACUAUAAGAUGUAACUGAUGUAAAAUUAUUUCUAUUAAUACAAUGGUUGUUGUACUUUGAUUACUAUACUACAUAUGUUGUGAUACUUGACAUGACGUUAUCCACCCCAGAACGUUUCCACCAUUCCGGUUUUGGGGUGUGACAGAUUGGUAUCGGAGCAUUGUUUAUAGUGAGCUCAGUAUAUCAAUUCAUAAAAGAUAUACAACCUAUAAAUACACAGGGAUAAACCACUCUGACCAAGAAUGAUACUUUAAAAUAUAACCAUAUUUUACCAAAGUAUAAGAACAUCCUGAAUCUAAACACUCGAACAAAAGUAUCACAAGAAGAACAUAAUAAAAGUCAUUGGAUGUUGACCACUACCGUCAAACCUGGGCAGUUAUGUAAUCGUAAGCUGAAAUAAAUGUAACCUGAUCAACUACAUUUAUUCGAGAUGCGAUGAACAUGUGCUUGGGAGUGAUGGUGGUGUUGCAACAGGUCUGAAACUUACCAAAUAGGAAUGCUAGAGACAAACAGAAAGUUUAAAAUACUAUGGGAGUAUUUUGGAAUACUAAAAGACUCACAAUAAUCCCAGAAUCAUAUUCAGAAGUUAAGAAUCAAACAAGAAAUUAAAAUACCAUAAGGGUAUCUUAGGAUCCAUAGAUAACCAUGUGUGAAAAACUAAAAAGAUCCUAAUUGAUAUACCUAUGAUUACAAAUGGUAUGCUUCCAAGGUUAUAUAUAAUAAGGAUCCCAUAGACUAAGAAUGUGUGGUUUCGCUCUACUUCCUUUUCCUCGUUGGGAUGUGGAUAUAGAGUAGUAUCACAUAUUCGAAGGCCUAUCGAAUCUAGGUUAUAUAUAAUUUGUGUACCCUAUGUAAUUUUAGUAGGACUCGAUAUGGAUCACCCAGUGAAAUGUUAAUAAUCUCUUAGGAUUCUCUAGACAUUUCCAUUCUCGCACGAACCCUAUAGAAAACCUUAUCCACUUCAGUGUUCGACAGAAGAGUUGAUUCAGACCCAGAAGAGGUUCAUUGAGAAGAUUUCCAAUUCGGAAAUAAAUGAAAUAGGACGAGACUAUUGAAAUCACCAAGUGCCUAUACCUUUUAGGGACAUCGGUGAGCGAUUCACCUGAACUUUCGAGAUUUCCAGUCAUCCAUCAUGAAGCGAUGACACUCAGAGUCAGGAUCAGAAGUAAAGCGGAGUAGAGAUUCAAUAUGUCUACACGAGAAGAGAACCCUAGGUAUCUAUCCGAAGAAAACCAACGUUGGUCCCAGUCUAGGAUGAGACGUAGACAGAGGGAGCCAGUACAUGGAACCCGAGAAGUGUCUUUUCCUCGUUAUUGUCAUGCUAAAACACCCAUAAAAUAUUACAAUUUAGUGAGUUAUUGAUUACACUACUCACACUAUGUGUUAGAUAAAUCGCCUUUUCUCGUCGUAAGUAAUACGAUUAGAUCGGAUCCCAAAACCUUGAUUUAGAGUGUUUAGCCAUAAGUCUUCAUGAGCCUUUCUUUCCACAGUCUUCGUUCCGAACUCCCCUCAAAUCUUUCCAAGCCGGAGAGUGAAUCUCUCCAGUAUAAAGAUAACUUAGUAGGAACGACUCCCAUCUUAUGACUUUUCGAUACUCUUACUCCUACCUUGAAUACCCAGACUACAUCAUAGGGAUGUAGGUCGACACUCUAUUAACCAAUAUCCGCGGUGUAGGAAAAAUUUAUGCCUAUUAUAGUAAGGAUAGAUACGUCUAGAGUUAAACAUCGUCUCUCAUCGGCUUGUGUUCCUUUCCGUGUAGGAAAACCAUGCCUCCGCAGAAACGUAACCAAUCCGCUGGCAAGAAACCGACUCUCCUAUUCGAUGUAGCUACGUUCCAAGCUGCAGUCUCGGCAGGCGGNNNNNNNNNNNNNNNNNCCGUAGUAGCUGUCAUGGCUCAUCUGAAUGCUAACAACGCCAAUGUUAGCAAGAGCCCUAUCGGGAUUCCCGAUCCUAGCAAUGGACGGCAGCAACCAACUUUUGUGUGCCCAGCCACCCAAGAACCUCAACCAAAUCCACUAAAGAGAAAGUUCAAGAACGAGGAGGGAAGUACCUCGGCUCAAGGACCUUUCGAAGGGUAACGAGCUGAGACAGUCAAUACCCCUGCCAACCCUUCCAUCCCGACACCUAGAAGACCAUACCUAGGAAACCUUCCCCACUACAGCAAGUGUAGCUACCAUCAUCAUGAUAUAUGUCGAGAAUUCUUUUGCACUAGGUGCAACAAGAAGGGGAAUACCGCUCGUACCUGCAGAACCCCGGUUGAGUUCAUCACAUCAACCACUAAUGUGGCGACCAGUCCAAUAGGCCAUCUAUGUGGUGAUAUUGGACACUUCAAGAAGGACUGCCCAACUAAAGGAAACGACAAAGGCGCAGGAGGAGUCUAACUCUAAAUACCUAGGGAGAGUCAUCAAGGAGGCCGGUAGAACUUUUUGGUACGUCUCUUAAUCCUAGAUAACUAACCGAAAACAUUAAAAGGCUAAUUCUAAAUGUAAUUACUUCCCCGUUAAGGCGAAAGUCACAGCACUAUUGUAAAAUUCAAAAUUUCAUCAGGUAAAGCUAUAAUGGCUCCCUAUAUACAUUAAAGCCAUGUAUAAUUAAGAUGGAUAGACCUAGAGUGAGUGAUGCUGCCUCAUUUCUUGUUCCUCGUUUGGUUGUGGAUAUAGGGCACAGUCGCUCAGUCAACAGUCCUUCCUACCUUAAUUAGACAUGACUAGUAUAUGCUUGGCGAUUAUAGAAACGCCUCGUGAGAAUCCAUACAUGAAAAGCACAUUAUUCCGAAACCUCAGGACCCUUUAUAGUUCCGCGUCGACUCUAUCGGUCCAAAUAUCCGCGACAGUGAUACACGGGACGAAACCUGAGACGCCAAGAACUUGUGUGCCCAUUUAGCACAUGGCCCUAUCGACCCUCACUCUAUAUCAUGUCGAUGUAUGCCAUCUUCGAUGCCUCUACUAAUCAUGGUUUGACUUAGUGCAACCUCGUGUAAAAUCCUAGUGCCGUGUAAAAAGAACUUUCACCGUAGCCAUUUCGGCAGAUAAAGGUUCUUCCAAACCUAAUAAUAAAACCUAAUGCGAUCCUUUAGUCGUCUCACUUACCUAAAACUUUACGAAAUACCACGGAGUAGGGUAUCGCGUGCUGUUAACCAACCCUUUCUUAGAUAGAUAGAACCGGAAGCGAAAGACACCACAGGUAUUUCAGAAGACGGUAACCACCUGAAUCUUACUCCGUAGAUCUCCCAAAAAGACCCUUAACACCUCACAAUCAGGUUCGUGAACCAAGAGGAAAGAACUCAUGGGGUUAAUGUACUACUACUGAGUAUAUGCAUUAGAGUGGUAUACAAUUCAGAUCAAUAAGAUUUAAGAUGUGUGCUUCCUCCCUACUCCCCAUUCCUCGUUGGGUUGUGGGUUCUGGGGUGGAGCCGCACAAUUGAAUAUCCUGUGGACCUUAAUUAUAUACGGCUUGCUUACACCAAGUAUUAGUGGUUAAGCCAAGUAUGAGCUCUACCACGAACCUCAUAGUAAAACCCUUCAUCCUAUCCCAUUGAAUCAGAACUAGAGUCAAGAGAACCACUGCGGGUUGAGCUACUAAAAUGACCACAAAUCCUAAAUUUGUUGUCAUCCCAAUUAAGCCAACAUAGUAGCUAACACCCUCAGUUGGUAAAGAAAUAUGAGUCGUAAGAGUCAAGGAAAUUGACUACGACCAUCCAUUCACGCUUAAUCCCACGAAUUAAGCAUCUCAACGGAUAUCCCGGAAACCUGGAAGUUGCGAUAAGUUAAACUCUGAGAAGAGUGGAUGAAGAUAUUAGAAGUUCCGAGUAACGGAACCCUAUACUUCUAGACUUAACCUAAAUCAAGAAAACUCAGAACCACCGGAAGAGUAGUUGCAGAAGACGCUCGCACUACUCAGGCACUUCGACCACCCUGUUACUGACGAGUAGUGCCUAGGACACUCUGCCUCCUCACGUGGAAGAAGUCACCGUCACCCUGUAGACAAUAGACUGCAUUCUCCGAAGUGAAUACUAGAAUGCCAAGAACCACAGGAUAACCUCCGCAGCAAAGAAUACUUGAAUAAAGUACGAAAGUAGGUUGCGUUAAGCCUUAUAACCCAGCUCCCGAAGAGAUUAUAGACCUGACACCAGUCUAGGUGUUAGUCGAUGGGUUAUAUAAUAGUGUCACGUGCUUUCUGCAACUGAAAUAAACUGACACCUUAGAGAAUAGGCAUGUCUUAGAGAUUCAUUGGACUACUAGGUGUACCAAGAAUACUAUCUCACGCAGAGAUAGUAGAACCACCACCCGAGAAAGUCCAACACUUCAGAAAAUCUCUAAGAAUUGAGUUAGCCCUGAGCAGAGCUUGCUAUUAAUGAAACAGAAAAGCAAGUAAGAGCAUGAUUCUUCCCCGUUUGGAAUCAUAUUGUGAAAGCGUCAACUAGACGAUGAUGAAAAGUUUAAAAACUUUCUAAACAAUCGUCUGGUAAAACCCUAUCUCACCGACUACGAGAAUUAGAAACAUCUCAAGAACCAGAAGUGCAGGUUCAUUUUGCACUAAGUUGACACUUGCAUCAAAUAGAUACCCGUAGACAUCCAAUUUAUCCGAUAAUCCAGAAAACCUCUGAAAGCCAAUCAGCAGGAAACACAAAUCCAAGGAUGACUCAAACCUUCUAAGAACUAACCCGAAGAACUACACCUCAGUAAGAGAGAACUUUUAGAACUUCAUAAUUGCGAUCACGCCAGUGAUGAUCUCACCAUAAAAGUACAUUAUGUUCUAAGUACUGAAAAGCUCUAUCUUCCCAAGAGUGUAGGACCAUCCUAGAUUCUUUAUAAGAAUGGGUCCAACCCUUGUCAGACCACGACUACUUUUAGAAGUCCAUAAGUUUCACCCCAAAUCGAUCAACGUCCUAGACUUGAAAGAGUGCUUGCCCGACGUAACUAUCUAAAUCCCACUAGUCUUGGUAGAAAUCAUUGGGAACCCUAACUUCGUAGCCGACCCUGUAGGAAUCGCUAACCGAACGAAAUGAAAUCUGCAUCCCGUUAAGUGAAGGUUUGCUGGAACGCCAAGCAAAGGCCGAAGUUCACUUGGGAGCGCGAGGACCAACCGGAUAGGAAGUACCAUCAUCUCUCUACCCGAUUGUUCAUGCCACUUCCUUGCCAAAACCCUAAAUUCGGGACGAAAUUCCCUCUAACGGGGGGAUGAUGUGACAACCUGAAAUUUAUCCCGUCACAGUAAACCCUUUUCCUCUAAUAAAACUCGCUUUAUUAAAUUGUUCCGUUAACCUUUUUGGAUUAGGUUAAUUAAAUUGGGACUGUUUAUUAUGACUUCAUGAGUGUCCAAAUGAAUUAGAAACACGUGAAACACCCUCAAUAUCCCCUUGAAAAUUUUUAGUUACAGUCAAGUCAAAUUACGACCAUUUAAUCGGGUAUGACCAUAAGCCCCGUUUAACGUCAGUAUCGGGUAGGUUUCCACUGGGCCACAAACUCAAACCCCUAUAUAAGGGUGAGGAAACCUCAUUUACACCCUUUUUACUCUCUCUCUACUCUCUACAAGUUGCUUUCGAUCCAAAAACGCCCAUUUCGAGCACCAUAAUCGUAAGUAAUCUGUCCUACCUUGUUGUUUAACUUAAUAUACCUGAAAAUUCUUUUUUAAAUCACCCAAAACCCUAAUAACCAUGUGUUUAAGGCCCAGGAACACUCUUGGACCGCAAACACUCCUAAAUGGGGUUUUGAAGCCCCAAAACCCUUCCAAACCACUUAUGGAGCUUACUUAUGACUUAGGGGCUUACAUGAAAGUACUUAGAACACCAAAAUCUUAACAUAUGAGGAGUGAACAUGAGUUUACAGCCCAAGAACACUCUUGGUAUGUAAACCCCUCUUCUUGGGCCAUGAACACCAAUUAAGGUGUUAAAUUUGCCCUUAAACACCUCCUAAGGCUUGGGUAAAUGUCUAGAAUCAACCACCAUUGAAGUAGGGGCAUUAAACAUCAAGGAAACUAUGGACUUAGGAGUUUACGGCUAUAAACCCCCCAAGGAUUGGUCCAUGGGCCAUAAACUCCCUUAAGAAUGCCAAAUGUUGCCCUAACUUCCCCCUUUGGCUUGGAAAAAUGCAUAGAAACUUAUACUCUUUCAUUUAAUACCUUAAAUCAUGAGUUGAAGGACCAAGUGAGAGUUUACGGCCGUAAACUCUAUGUUUACAGCCGUGAACUCCCUUAAAUGGUUCAUUUGGAGCCUUAACCCCUUCCUAUGCCCUAGAUUGGAACCUAGCCUAAUUCUACAAGUGAUAUAAGACCUUUAAACAUCCAAUAACACACCACCCAUGAGUUUAUGGCCGUAAACUCAUGGGGAUAUGGUCUGAGGGCCGAAAUCUCCAUAAAGAGUUUACUCUUGAAGACUAAACCCGCUAACUAGGCCAUACACUCCCUUAUUGCAACCCAAUAGCCUCCUAGCACUUGACCAAAGUGUUUUCCGCACAUUAGGAUGCUUAUACUUGUUUAAUUAGUAUUAUAAUCUCUAAUUGUAUGUAAACAUAUGUCAUCAUAUGUUAAUAGGUCACUAAGUGUGUUCAAGUCUUUACUUGGCACUGCGCACCCAAAUGACAGCUCCGUCCAAUCCACCCGCAACAGGUGUAACAACCCGAAAUUCAUAUUCCGAAAUGUAACCCUUUU
Molecule: long non-coding RNA, 8417 nt
Filed under: Lactuca sativa (garden lettuce)
Lineage: Eukaryota; Viridiplantae; Streptophyta; Magnoliopsida; Asterales; Asteraceae
Description: long non-coding RNA (LSAT_LNC008938)
Source: RNAcentral